This 882-nucleotide ribosomal RNA is filed under the name Escherichia coli. Its description in RNAcentral is "partial 23S ribosomal RNA". It matches the Rfam family "Bacterial large subunit ribosomal RNA", at positions 1920 to 2801 of the family's 2925-position model. The record is from RNAcentral. Lineage: Bacteria; Pseudomonadati; Pseudomonadota; Gammaproteobacteria; Enterobacterales; Enterobacteriaceae.
CCGGUAAACGGCGGCCGUAACUAUAACGGUCCUAAGGUAGCGAAAUUCCUUGUCGGGUAAGUUCCGACCUGCACGAAUGGCGUAAUGAUGGCCAGGCUGUCUCCACCCGAGACUCAGUGAAAUUGAACUCGCUGUGAAGAUGCAGUGUACCCGCGGCAAGACGGAAAGACCCCGUGAACCUUUACUAUAGCUUGACACUGAACAUUGAGCCUUGAUGUGUAGGAUAGGUGGGAGGCUUUGAAGUGUGGACGCCAGUCUGCAUGGAGCCGACCUUGAAAUACCACCCUUUAAUGUUUGAUGUUCUAACGUUGGCCCCUGAUCGGGGUUGCGGACAGUGUCUGGUGGGUAGUUUGACUGGGGCGGUCUCCUCCUAAAGAGUAACGGAGGAGCACGAAGGUUGGCUAAUCCUGGUCGGACAUCAGGAGGUUAGUGCAAUGGCAUAAGCCAGCUUGACUGCGAGCGUGACGGCGCGAGCAGGUGCGAAAGCAGGUCAUAGUGAUCCGGUGGUUCUGAAUGGAAGGGCCAUCGCUCAACGGAUAAAAGGUACUCCGGGGAUAACAGGCUGAUACCGCCCAAGAGUUCAUAUCGACGGCGGUGUUUGGCACCUCGAUGUCGGCUCAUCACAUCCUGGGGCUGAAGUAGGUCCCAAGGGUAUGGCUGUUCGCCAUUUAAAGUGGUACGCGAGCUGGGUUUAGAACGUCGUGAGACAGUUCGGUCCCUAUCUGCCGUGGGCGCUGGAGAACUGAGGGGGGCUGCUCCUAGUACGAGAGGACCGGAGUGGACGCAUCACUGGUGUUCGGGUUGUCAUGCCAAUGGCACUGCCCGGUAGCUAAAUGCGGAAGAGAUAAGUGCUGAAAGCAUCUAAGCACGAAACUUGCCCCG